CGGGCGGUAUGCUUAACACAUGCAAGUCGAACGAAAGUUUAUACUUUAGUGGCGGACGGGUGAGUAAUACGUGAGAAUCUGCCUUUAGGAAGGGAAUAACAUUUAGAAAUGAUUGCUAAUGCCCUAUGUGCCCUUAUGGUGAAAGGAGUAAUCCGCCUGAAGAGGAGCUCACGCCUGAUUAGCUAGUUGGUAAGAUAAAAGCUUACCAAGGCGACGAUCAGUAGCUGGUUUGAGAGGAUGAUCAGCCACACUGGAACUGAGACACGGUCCAGACUUCUACGGAAGGCAGCAGUUGGGAAUUUUCCGCAAUGGGCGAAAGCCUGACGGAGCAAUACCGCGUGAGGGAAGAAUGCCUGUGGGUUGUAAACCUCUUUUCUUAAGGAAGAAGUUCUGACGGUACUUAAGGAAUAAGCAUCGGCUAACUCCGUGCCAGCAGCCGCGGUAAU
Molecule: ribosomal RNA, 446 nt
Filed under: uncultured bacterium
Lineage: Bacteria
Description: bacterial SSU rRNA
Rfam family: Bacterial small subunit ribosomal RNA
Source: RNAcentral